This 85-nucleotide transfer RNA is filed under the name Chloroflexota bacterium. Its description in RNAcentral is "Chloroflexi bacterium (groundwater metagenome) tRNA-Leu". It matches the Rfam family "tRNA". From Rfam's summary of the family: Transfer RNA (tRNA) molecules are approximately 80 nucleotides in length. Their secondary structure includes four short double-helical elements and three loops (D, anti-codon, and T loops). Further hydrogen bonds mediate the characteristic L-shaped molecular structure. tRNAs have two regions of fundamental functional importance: the anti-codon, which is responsible for specific mRNA codon recognition, and the 3' end, to which the tRNAs corresponding amino acid is attached (by aminoacyl-tRNA synthetases). tRNAs cope with the degeneracy of the genetic code in two manners: having more than one tRNA (with a specific anti-codon) for a particular amino acid; and 'wobble' base-pairing, i.e. permitting non-standard base-pairing at the 3rd anti-codon position. Lineage: Bacteria; Bacillati; Chloroflexota. The record is from RNAcentral.
GGGCCGGUGGCGGAAUCGGCAGACGCCGAGGACUUAAAAUCCUCUGAGGCAGCCCCUCGUGAGAGUUCGAGUCUCUCCCGGCCCA